This 254-nucleotide ribosomal RNA is filed under the name uncultured bacterium. Its description in RNAcentral is "partial 16S ribosomal RNA". It matches the Rfam family "Bacterial small subunit ribosomal RNA", at positions 524 to 776 of the family's 1533-position model. The record is from RNAcentral.
UACGUAGGGUCCGAGCGUUGCCCGGAAUUAUUGGGCGUAAAGAGCUCGUAGGCGGUGUGUCACGUCGGCCGUGAAAACCUGCAGCUUAACUGUGGGCGUGCGGUCGAUACGGGCAUCACUGGAGUUCGGCAGGGGAGACUGGAAUUCCUGGUGUAGCGGUGAAAUGCGCAGAGCUCGGGAAGAACAUCGGUGGCGAAAGCGCUCUGCUGGACUGCAACUGACACUCAGGGACGAAAGCUAGGGGAGCGAAUGGG